This 272-nucleotide small RNA is filed under the name Pongo abelii (Sumatran orangutan). Its description in RNAcentral is "retained intron". Lineage: Eukaryota; Metazoa; Chordata; Mammalia; Primates; Hominidae. The record is from RNAcentral.
UGCUGGAGCUGUGGGAGAUGCGCAGGCAGCAGUACGAGCAGUGCAUGGACCUGCAGCUCUUCUACCGGGACACUGAGCAGGUGGACAACUGGAUGAGCAAGCAGGAGGCGUUCCUAUUGAAUGAAGACUUGGGAGAUUCCUUGGAUAGUGUGGAAGCACUUCUUAAGAAGCAUGAAGACUUUGAGAAAUCCCUUAGUGCCCAGGAGGAAAAGAUUACAGUAAGACCCCUUCUUGUCAGUGCUUUCAAAUGACCCUUAUAGUAAGCCAGAGUC